RNAcentral lists this ribosomal RNA (367 nucleotides) under uncultured bacterium. RNAcentral describes it as "partial 16S ribosomal RNA". It matches the Rfam family "Bacterial small subunit ribosomal RNA", at positions 338 to 702 of the family's 1533-position model. The record is from RNAcentral.
CCUACGGGAGGCAGCAGUGAGGAAUAGUGGGCAAUGGGCGUACGCCUGAACCAGCCAAGGCGCGUGAGGGAAGACGGCCCUAUGGGGUGUAAACCUCUUUUGUCAGGGAGCAAGUGGCGCUACGUGUAGCGUUAUCGAGAGUACCUGAAGAAAAAGCAGCGGCUAACUCAGGGCCAGCAGCCGCGGUAAUACGGAGGAUGCGAGCGUUAGCCGGAUUUAUUGGGUUUAAAGGGUGCGUAGGCGGAAUGCCAAGUCAGCGGUAAAAUCGCGGGGCUCACCCUCGCUCCGCCGUUGAAACUGGCGUUCUUGAGUGGGCGAGAGGUCUGCGGAAUGCGUGGUGUAGCGGUGAAAUGCAUAGAUAUCACGC